Molecule: ribosomal RNA, 144 nt
Filed under: Triticum aestivum (bread wheat)
Lineage: Eukaryota; Viridiplantae; Streptophyta; Magnoliopsida; Poales; Poaceae
Description: partial small subunit ribosomal RNA
Source: RNAcentral
AUGAACUUCCCCAAUGGCAAGAACUUGAAAGGUGCCUUCUUUGGGAACUACAAACCACACACCAACCUCCAAGACGUCGUCAAGAUGUAUAUGAGGAAGGAGCCGGAGCUGGAGAAGUUCAUCACGCACGUUGGACCUUUCUAA